GAGCAUUUGAGCCAAGAAAGAUUAAAUUUGAAGUCAAACUACUUGAGAAAAAUAUGUUUGAAGAAGUCAAGUCAACUCUUAUUGAAAUCAAGCUAACUCCGACAUGAUCUGGACACUAGCACAAUAAUUUAAUACAAAGUCGAGCCUGCUCGAAGAAGAUCCGAGCCAACUCUUCCAGAUAGACAGAAAUGUGAUUUUCAAAUUUCUGAGAUCGAGCCAACUCGAAAUCAAUCCGAGCCGACUAUCUCAAAGGGACAGAG
This 260-nucleotide long non-coding RNA is filed under the name Elaeis guineensis (African oil palm). RNAcentral describes it as "long non-coding RNA (EGUI_LNC065429)". The record is from RNAcentral. Lineage: Eukaryota; Viridiplantae; Streptophyta; Magnoliopsida; Arecales; Arecaceae.